Molecule: long non-coding RNA, 919 nt
Organism: Rosa chinensis
Lineage: Eukaryota; Viridiplantae; Streptophyta; Magnoliopsida; Rosales; Rosaceae
Exons: 5
Source: RefSeq, a predicted model, not a curated record
GUGAGAUUUAGUUCUGAAUCUGAGAGAGGUUUUGAUCAACAGUUGUGGUUGUUGAUUGACAGAGAAAAAAGUGCUUCGUUCUUUCCAAUUUGUUGAUCGAGAGAGAGAGAGAGGAAGAAAGGAUAGGAGCAAGGUAUUUUGCAUGUUUUCGUUCUUCUAAAGUCUGCUAAAUCCGACUCCUACGCAUCUUCCAGCUCUGGCGCCGACAAAUCUCCCGAUUCUAAGGAUCCUUGGUGUUUGAAUUUCUAUGCGUACAAGGCCACAUUCAGACAAAGCAUAUAUAGUCCUUUUGGUUUGCUGCUACUGAAUAAUCAACCAAGUUCAGAUCAGUUUUCUAGGGGAAAGCUAAUAGAUGCAUACCGAUUUUUACACAAAGAGAAGGACAUGGAGCGUGGCUUCUCCUGGUCAGGAAAUCCCAUUGGAAAGUAAGACCAUAUGAUUCAUGCACAUAGGAACUUGCGGUUGAAAAUAAAUUGGAUUACUGUUGUGUUGGUCGAGUUGAAGUGAUGUAGAAUCAUGGUGAUUCCAUCUGAAUGUGCAAUCAUUAGAUGUAUAGAGGCAAAAGGAUGAGGAUAGACUACUUCAUAGCUGCAGAGCAACUCAAAGAUAGGAUUGUUUCAUGUGAGAUGCACGGGCAAGGGAUGAAUUACAAGGUUUGCUGACUGCGGUGCAGAAGGACUACUUUAGACUUCUACAUUAUCAAGAGUUGCAUUUCGAUGAUUGUGGAGAUCGUGUUUCUCAGUUGUUACAUGUUGAAUUAGCUGCCCCAGCUUCACAGUUUCAAAACAAUGAUAUUCUAGAAGACCUCAUGAUUCAAAUUUGUGUAUAGUAAUUAGCUAAAGUACCAGAUUUUGGAUCAUGUAAAACAAUAUUUGAUGUGUAUAUACAACGCAUUUAUAGUGUACCUAAUAUUUGUAAA